GCAGAAUUCAACAAGCGGAAUAACAAAAAUCAAUUCAAACAUUCACACAAACAAAUUUAUUAAAAAAGAAAACAGAAAGAAAAGGUACCUUAUGGAUUACAUAAUUUCAUCUUCAAAACCCAACUUCGAUGCCUUUUAUCUCACAAAUAUUCGUAGAAAUCAACUUCUUCAAUAGAAUUGAUCGAUUUUGAUGGCUUAGUAGUACUUCUGGCAAGUUUUCAAGAAUAACCCAGAGACGCGGAAAAACUAGGGUGGCAUAUGAGAAGAAGUGAUGAGAGACGAAUGAGAGGCAGAGGCGUUCGAUGAGUGAGAUGAUGAGAGACGAGUGAGAGGCAGUGGCAGAGAAGAGGAAAAACUAGGGCAUUUUGACGAGUUUUCUUUUUGGUUUGGGUUUUGUAAUUUAAGUUUUACUUUUAGCAACGUUCAAAU
This 429-nucleotide long non-coding RNA is filed under the name Olea europaea subsp. europaea. The record is from RNAcentral. Lineage: Eukaryota; Viridiplantae; Streptophyta; Magnoliopsida; Lamiales; Oleaceae.